CAACUAUGAUGAUCUACUUCAAGUCCGUGUUUCUGAACCCUGAUUAUAAGGAAGUCCUGAUUUG
This is a small nucleolar RNA of Betta splendens (Siamese fighting fish), 64 nucleotides long. Its record names the gene SNORD18. It matches the Rfam family "Small nucleolar RNA SNORD18". Rfam says of the family: U18 is a member of the C/D class of snoRNA which contain the C (UGAUGA) and D (CUGA) box motifs. It is encoded in introns of ribosomal protein L1 in Xenopus and human, and in introns of elongation factor 1 beta in yeast. Lineage: Eukaryota; Metazoa; Chordata; Actinopteri; Anabantiformes; Osphronemidae. The record is from Ensembl.